UUACUGGAAGGCUAGCGAGUGGCGCCAUUGGCUGCUCUACUACAGCCUUCCAUGUACGCUCAACAUCCUUCCUCAACGCCAUUGGAAACACUGGUGUCUUCUUGUAGAGGCUAUCCACCUGCUCUUGCAGGAAGAGUUACAUCCCACUUUACUUGCACGGGCCAGCACAUUGCUUCAGAAGUUUGUCUUUAUGGUCCCUUCACUCUACGAGGAACGCUUCGUGACAUUCAAUGUUCACCAAUUGCUACACCUGACAGCAACAGUACAGCACCUGGGACCCCUAUGGGCUCAUUCCGCUUUUGUGUUUGAAGAUGGAAACGGCCGUCUCACAAAGACAGUGACCGCAGCGAACGGAGUGGCCCUUCAGAUCGUCGAAAGGGUCGUGCUCCAUCAGCAGUUAAAGCUUCUGCUUAACACCCAGCAGCUGUCAGCAAGAGUGAGGGAAGUGUGCGUGGACAUGCUCCAAGACCGCUAUGUUCAAAAUUACAGCAGAGUGGAUGGAGCAGUGCUCCUCGGUGUCCCUCAGCAUGUUUGUCAAUUUAUGCCUGCUGAAGAGGAAGCCUUCAGGAAGCGGUAUGGCAGAGUCCCUAGUUCAGCAAAGGAGUUUCUCAGGGUAGUGUCGAAUGGACAGGUGCACCACAGUGUAAAGUACACAAAAGCUAGGAAGAGCAACAGCACAGUAAUUUCAACAAAGACUGAUGAGUAUUUUUCCAUUCAACGCAUACUUGAAGUGAAACACAAUGAGGGCGAUAAGUGCAUAUUACUGUGCAAGAGGUUCGUCCUCGUACAUGGUGAGAAUCAGCUUCCAGCCCACAUCAAAGAGUGUUUCCUCCCAUCACACACGGAGAUAUUCGUGGUUGAGUUGUUUGACGUUCGCCAAACUUGUCUAUACAUUUUAUUUUUAUCUGAACACAAGUCUUACCUGUGUGACCUAGCAAACACUAUUGAAAGGGACUAACCACAUCUGUUGAGCAAAGGCCUGCACUACUGUGGAGUUCCAUUCCACGUGGCCGUUCUCAGUGCUUUAGGUGACUGUGUAAGCCAAGCUGUAUUUUUCAGUGUAUUGCAGAAUAUGUACAGCAAGAUAAGUGGACCAGAGUGCUUCAGAAAGAAAGCUUAUUGUAUUUAGUGCGCACUGCAUGUACAUAGCAUCACUGUACAGUGUGUCUUCUAUUUUUGUGUACCUCAAUUUGUUUCUUUUGUGUGUAUUUGGUUUUUUUCUUCCUGGUCUUGUACUGCUUAAUAAACAAAUGAUGCUUGAUCGUUAUGGUGA
This is a long non-coding RNA of Ornithodoros turicata, 1273 nucleotides long. RefSeq lists it as uncharacterized. NCBI's taxonomy places the organism in Eukaryota, Metazoa, Arthropoda, Arachnida, Ixodida, Argasidae. The record is from RefSeq and is a predicted model, not a curated record. The transcript has 2 exons.